This 573-nucleotide unclassified non-coding RNA is filed under the name Hevea brasiliensis (rubber tree). Lineage: Eukaryota; Viridiplantae; Streptophyta; Magnoliopsida; Malpighiales; Euphorbiaceae. The record is from RNAcentral.
AUUUUAUUUUGAUUUAAAAAAAGAAAAUGCAUAAAUGCAGAAACACAUAAAUAUCUUACUUUUAAUGUCGCUUUACUUACUUUUGUAUUGACUUACUCUAAUAGUGAAGUGAUUCACUUGUAUUCUAUAGGUAAUUUAAGGUACAUUUUACUGUAUUUCAUGAGCAUUUAGAUAGUUAAUUGCAUGAUUUCUUGUUAGUUUCAUUGCUUUUUAAGAUUUUGAGAUACUUUGGCUUAAUUUCUUGAAUUCUAUAUUUUAUCAUGUGAUUUCAUACAGUUCCAAGGCCUAUAACACAUUUGGAUAAGUUGGGAAGUCAAAAAAAGCAAAUUCUUUACUGAGAAGGAAUGCACAGGCCGUGCACUGGGCAUCCUUACCCCCUGUAACUAUCCGCUGGAAGAAAGCUGAAAAAGAGCAAUUGCACGGGCCAUGUAAAGGGACCUGUGUAAUUGUCCUUGGCCCGUGUAACCUUCUGCUGCCCCAAAUUGUGAAAGUUUCAAGAGCUCCAGAAAGUUACACUGCCUGCCCAGUGUGAUGAAGUAUGGGCCAUGUGAAAUACCCUAGCUCAGACUCUAA